Molecule: ribosomal RNA, 483 nt
Filed under: uncultured bacterium
Lineage: Bacteria
Description: partial 16S ribosomal RNA
Rfam family: Bacterial small subunit ribosomal RNA
Source: RNAcentral
GACGAACGCUGGCGGCGUGCUUAACACAUGCAAGUCGAACGAUGAUGCCCAGCUUGCUGGGUGGAUUAGUGGCGAACGGGUGAGUAACACGUGAGUAACCUGCCCCUGACUCUGGGAUAAGCGUUGGAAACGACGUCUAAUACUGGAUAUGACUGCCGGCCGCAUGGUCUGGUGGUGGAAAGAUUUUUUGGUUGGGGAUGGACUCGCGGCCUAUCAGCUUGUUGGUGAGGUAAUGGCUCACCAAGGCGACGACGGGUAGCCGGCCUGAGAGGGUGAACGGCCACACUGGGACUGAGACAGGGGCCAGAGUCCUACGGGGGGAAGCAGUAGGGAAUAUUUCACAAUGGUCGAAAGCCUGAUGCAGCAGCGCCGCGUGAGGGAUGACGGCCUUCGGGUUGUAAACCUCUUUUAGUAGGGAAUAAGCGAAAGUGACGGUACCUGCAGAAAAAGCACCGGCUAACUACGUGCCAGCCGCCGCCGUAA